CAGCCGCCGCGGGAAUACGAAGGGGGCUAGCGUUGUUCGGAAUUACUGGGCGUAAAGCGCACGUAGGCGGAUAUUUAAGUCAGGGGUGAAAUCCCGCAGCUCAACUGCGGAACUGCCUUUGAUACUGGGUAUCUUGGGUAUGGAAGAGGUUAGUGGAAUUGCGAGUGUAGAGGUGAAAUUCGUAGAUAUUCGCAGGAACACCAGUGGCGAAGGCGGCUAACUGGUCCAUAACUGACGCUGAGGUGCGAAAGCGUGGGGAGCAAACAGGAUUAGAUACCCCAGUAGUCCCUGUCUCUUAUAC
Molecule: ribosomal RNA, 301 nt
Filed under: uncultured bacterium
Lineage: Bacteria
Description: partial 16S ribosomal RNA
Rfam family: Bacterial small subunit ribosomal RNA
Source: RNAcentral